RNAcentral lists this ribosomal RNA (544 nucleotides) under uncultured Glomeromycotina. RNAcentral's name for it is "SSU rRNA". It matches the Rfam family "Eukaryotic small subunit ribosomal RNA", at positions 553 to 1098 of the family's 1831-position model. Lineage: Eukaryota; Fungi; Glomeromycota. The record is from RNAcentral.
GGGCAAGUCUGGUGCCAGCAGCCGCGGUAAUUCCAGCUCCAAUAGCGUAUAUUAAAGUUGUUGCAGUUAAAAAGCUCGUAGUUGAAUUUCGAGAUCAGUUCGCUGGUCGUGCCUUUGGUAUGUACUGGUGUUACUGGUUUCUACCUUCUGAAGAACCGUCAUGUCAUUCAUUUGGUGUGGCGGGGAAUCAGGACUGUUACUUUGAAAAAAUUAGAGUGUUUAAAGCAGGCUCGCGCUUGAAUACAUUAGCAUGGAAUAAUGAAAUAGGACGUUUGAUCCUAUUUUGUUGGUUUCUAGGAUCGACGUAGUGAUUAAUAGGGAUAGUUGGGGGCAUUAGUAUUCAAUUGUCAGAGGUGAAAUUCUUGGAUUUAUUGAAGACUAACUACUGCGAAAGCAUUUGCCAAGGAUGUUUUCAUUAAUCAAGAACGAAAGUUAGGGGAUCGAAGACGAUCAGAUACCGUCGUAGUCUUAACCAUAAACUAUGCCGACUAGGGAUCGGAUGAUGUUAAUUUUUUAAUGACUCAUUCGGCGCCUUACGGGAAAC